Pygocentrus nattereri (red-bellied piranha) is the source of this 179-nucleotide small nucleolar RNA. Ensembl annotates it as Small nucleolar RNA SNORA81. Its record names the gene SNORA81. Lineage: Eukaryota; Metazoa; Chordata; Actinopteri; Characiformes; Serrasalmidae. The record is from Ensembl.
CCUUCCAUAUAAAAGAACUGUGCUUAAAUUACAGAAUCCAGGUUUUCCUGGUUUAUGUAAUAAUGCUAGCAGAGUAACAAAAUGGAAGGAGAGCAAUUGCCCUGCACCGGAAAUGAAAGAUGGUCGGACCGCUUUCUUAAUGUCCAGUGGCCUUUGUUUCAAGGUUCAGUGCAACAGUU